CUCUGUGGGUUAUUUCGGAGUAGACUUUUUAAAAAGUAUUCUAGACUAUUUUUUAACAUGACAGCUUACGUGCAAAGGAAAAAAAAAGCUCUAGGUAGCUUGCAAGUUGCUGUCAUUUUCCUUUGGGUACAAUGGUGACCAGUGGAAUGGUAUAAUGGUGACCAGUAAGAGCAUCUUUAAAAGAGGUUUUGCUAGGUGUCUUAAAUGGAGUGCUCAGAUAACGCCAUGUGUUGAUGUACACAUUUCACGAUUGCUAAUCCAGAGAGUGUUAUUUGUGUUGUGCUCCAGAUAAAGUAAAAUCCCGUGGAAAGUGUAGUAUGGCACCAUAUAGAUAAAGUUACAUGAUGUGACUGCACUGAGGUCUCAAGGGCAACCUUAGCUUUGCUGUUUUUUAACUUUCCAUGCUUGAUUUUGCAACACUAUUAUUGCUUUUAUGCUGGGUUUUGUGAAUAAUUUGCUAAGUUUUUAGAUGGAGGAAAUCCCUCCCUGCUCCGCCACCCCUGCCAGCCUGUAAAAAUCGCAUUUUGUGAGCUGAGACGUUGCUAUCGCAAACGGGGAAGCUCCACGCUUUUGUGGAAAACCAGAGGAAACGCUGAUGACCGUCAAUCACUGAGCUUAGCUCACAGGGGGCUGCCCAGGACUGCAGAUAACUUCCCGUCCUCUGAGGUUUUUAUUUUUACUCCCUGGAGCUGAUGACAUCUCCUGUCUUCCUUGAAACCUCUACGGGGUCCUACACAACUGCUUUACUUGGAGAGUCCUCCCUGAGCGGUGUGGGACGGAGUGAAUCUGCUCUGAGGCCUUCCCGCAGAGGUCCAUGCGGAGACAGGGGGAGGAACGAGGAUGUGCACAGAUUAUCCCACCCCAACUUAGACAACUGGCAGCCAUAUGUGGGUAUCCAGAAAUAAUAGGUAUGGUUUCAGUGGCAGAGCGCGAACCCUUGCCGGGACAUGCGAUGCUGUUGAUGCCGGCGGUUGUGCGGCGUGUCGAGGAAGCGAAGGGCCCUUUCCUCCUACGAGCAGCCCCCCGUGAGCACCAGCCCCUGCGCUCGGAGGACAGCGGCAGGAGGAAGGAGCCCCUGCGCUCUGGCCAUGGGGAGGACGGUCGUGGCAAGCCCUCGUGAGCCCUGCGUGGCAACGGGGACGUUCAGAAAAGUUCUUCUCUAACCUGCGUCGUAAGGAUUAUCUGCGAUCUGGUUACAUGAAAAGCAAAUACCCCUGUUGAACAAAGUGCCAGAAGAAGUAGCACUGAUGUUACGAGUUCUAGAUGUGAACAAGAUUUAAACUUCUGCCUAGUAUGCCUUUCCAAAUCAGUUUGUUACAAGAAAUGAUUAUCAUGCCCACAAAAACAGGCUGGGAGACGAAGGGCUAUCUGAACUGAUGCACGCUUACAUACUUCUUAAUGCGAGUAUUUAGCUCUUUCCAAAAGGAACCGAAAGCUUCUGGCAAGUUUGAGAACUGAGAACAGUAUUGAUACAGCAUUGUAAGUAGUCGAAUUAAGACCUCCUACUCCUUCAUAAACUCUUCUGGAAACCUGUCUAUGCUCUAAAGGCCACAGGCUAUUUUGUUCUGUAUUUCAUUAUAAAAAGAAGAUUGAGAAGUGACUCAAUUAUAAUGUAUAAGCACCUUCAUGGGAAGAAAAUACUGGGUACUAAAGAGCUCUCUCAUCUAGCAGAGAAAUGUGCCAUAAGAACCGACAUCUGAAAAACUAAAGUCAAAAUGAGAAAUAAAGCACGCGUUUUGAUGUACCCACUGGAACUCGCUGCUAGGAUUUAUGGUGGAUUCUACUUUUCUUGAUGUUGUGUUCAGAAAGGCAUCAUACAUUGUUCUGAAUAUUCUUCAGCUAUAUAUAAGUUGUUCAUCAGGGUAUAAGUACUGUGCUUAAUGCAAGGGUAUUUUGGUGAAGUCUGGUAGUUUAUGCUGUGCAUUUUAGGAUAGAUCAUCAAUAGUCCUUGCUUGCCUAAACCUCUCCAGAUCUGUGUUAGGCUUCCUUGUCCAUCACAGCUGAAUUUUAACAUAGAUUUGGUGCUAUUUUGAAUUCACGAGGAAACUACUGGAUCCUCUAUUUUCUAGCAUUUUAGUCAAAUAACAAAGCAUCAUCCCCACUCAAACAACUCUUGCAAUUAAAGAAUUUAACAUUA
Long non-coding RNA from Dromaius novaehollandiae (emu), 2137 nucleotides. RefSeq lists it as uncharacterized. Lineage: Eukaryota; Metazoa; Chordata; Aves; Casuariiformes; Dromaiidae. The transcript is spliced from 2 exons. The record is from RefSeq and is a predicted model, not a curated record.